RNAcentral lists this ribosomal RNA (496 nucleotides) under uncultured marine bacterium. RNAcentral's name for it is "bacterial SSU rRNA". It matches the Rfam family "Bacterial small subunit ribosomal RNA", at positions 8 to 490 of the family's 1533-position model. The record is from RNAcentral.
AGAGUUUGAUCCUGGCUCAGAACGAACGCUGGCGGCGUGCUUAACACAUGCAAGUCGAACGCGAACGGUUUCUUCGGGAACCUAGUAGAGUGGCGCACGGGUGAGUAACGCGUAAGUUAUCUACCCUCCCAUCUGGAAUAACUCACCGAAAGGUGUGCUAAUACCGGAUACGUUGAUUUAUCAAGAAAGGUGGCCUCUAUUUAUAAGCUACCGUGGGGGGAUGAGCUUGCGUACCAUUAGCUAGUUGGUAGGGUAAUGGCCUACCAAGGCAACGAUGGUUAGCGGGUCUGAGAGGAUGAUCCGCCACACUGGAACUGGAACACGGACCAGACUCCUACCGGGAGGCAGCAGUGAGGAAUAUUGCGCAAUGGGGGAAACCCUGACGCAGCGACGCCGCGUGGAUCAUGAAGGCCUUUGGGUCGUAAAAUCCUGUCAGAUGGAAAGAAAUGCUAUAAUGCUAAUAUCGUUAUAGUAUGACGGGUACCAUCAAAGGAAG